GUGCCAGCAGCCGCGGUAAUUCCAGCUCCAAUAGCGUAUAUUAAAGUUGUUGUGGUUAAAAAGCUCGUAGUUGAACCUUGGGCCUGGCUGGCCGGCCCGUUUCACCGCGUGCACUGGUCCGGCCGGUCCUUUCCCUCUGUGGAAACCCAUACCCUUCACUGGGCGUGGUGGGAAAACAGGACAUUUACUUUGAAAAAAUUAGAGCGCUCCAGGCAGGUCUAUGCUCGAAUACAUUAGCAUGGAAUAAUAAAAUAGGCGGCGCGGUUCUAUUUUGUUGAUUUAUAGCCCCGCCGUAAUGAUUAAUAGGGACGGGGGGGGGCAUCAUUAUUCAACUGUCAGAGGUGAUUUUCUUGGAUCAGUUGAAGACUAACUACUGCGAAUGUUUUUGCGAAGGUUGUUUUCAUUAAUCAGGAACGAAAGUUAGGGGAUCGAAGACGAUCAGAUCCCGUCGUAGUCUAAACAAUAUACUAUGCCGACUAGGGGGCGGAGGUUGUUAUUCAUGACCCGUGCGGCACUUUACGAGAAAUCAAAGUGUCUCGCCCUCGAGGGGGAGUAUGCGCCGCAAGCCUGAAUUAUAAAGAAAUUGGCGGACGCCCCCCAGCGGGGGGGCGAGCCUGGCGAAUAAAGUUGACUCAGGAGGGGCAACCUCCGCACGCCCAGACACAAGAGGGAUUGACAGAGUGCUCUCUCUCUCUUGUUUGUGGGGGGGGGCGCCGCCUCGCUCGUUCGUGAGUUGGGGGGGUUGUCUUUGUCUUGCUUAAUUACAAAAACGAAAGAUACCUUUAUCUAGCUAAAUAGCUCGCAUUGCUCCGGGGGUGCGCUUGUAUUCUUAAGAAUCACUCUUCCGCUCAAGCGG
Molecule: ribosomal RNA, 856 nt
Filed under: uncultured fungus
Lineage: Eukaryota; Fungi
Description: partial 18S ribosomal RNA
Rfam family: Eukaryotic small subunit ribosomal RNA
Source: RNAcentral